UGGAGAUAUUGGGAUUUCGGAGAUGUCUGGAGCGUUUGCUUCAGGCAGGAGUUGUAGUAGAUACCAUCACCACAGACCGCUCUCCUUCUAUCAGGAAGCUUAUGAGAGAGACCUACUCUGACAUCCAGCAUCAGUUUGACCCAUGGCAUGUUGCCACAGGACUGAAGAAAAAGUUGACUGCGGCUGCUAAAAAUAAGAAAAACAAUGAUCUGCUUCCUUGGAUCAAGGCAAUUAAUAAUCACUUUUGGUGGUGUUGUCAGUCAUGUGGUGGUGAUGCUGAGGAAUUGAAACGUCAAUUCUGCAUCACAUUUGUGGCAUCCAUCGGUGGGAGGAAGAUGGAGAGGAGAGGACUUACUACCAUCAAGAACUCACUGAAGAUCAGCAGAGAAGAAAGAAAUGGCUGCAAACAGACUCUGCUGCUUUCAAUACACUGUCAGACCACGUACUUAACAAGAACCUGUUGAAAGACCUCAAACACAUGACUCUCUUCAAACAUACAGGAGACCUGGAAGUUUACCACAGUGCAAUGCUGAAGUACACUCCGAAGAGGCUACACUUCAGCUACAACUCUAUGAAGGCACGUACUCUACUCUCUGUGAUGGACCACAACGAGAAUGUUGGCCGUCAGCAAGCAAAAACCACUGAUGGAACUGCAAGAUAUGAUUUGGUCUUUCCGAAACAAAUAAAAAGAUGGUUUGCCAGGAAAAGAUACGAGACAACCAGGCAGACAUUCAGGAAGGAUCUUGUGGAGCGGGUCCUGCAAAGGCGCCAGUACCGUGAAGUUUGCAGAUCCUAAUUCUUAUAUCCAGCAACCAGACACCAUAUACAAAAACAUAGCCGACACUUCAAGACCGGACAAAGAUAAAAUUAUAUCACGGCAUGUCUCACGAUUUUCAAAUACAAGCAGAAAAUAAAAGCCUAACUGUAUCUUAUUGUGGUGCAAAAUACUGUGCCACCAUUUGUAAAAACACAAGGUCAU
Molecule: non-coding RNA, 979 nt
Organism: Pimephales promelas (fathead minnow)
Lineage: Eukaryota; Metazoa; Chordata; Actinopteri; Cypriniformes; Leuciscidae
Source: RefSeq, a predicted model, not a curated record